UACGUAGGCAGCAAGCGUUGUUCGGAGUUACUGGGCGUAAAGAGUGCGUAGGUGGUGCCCUAAGUCUGUUGUGAAAUCUCCCGGCUUAACUGGGAGGGUGCGGUGGAAACUGGGGUUCUUGAGUGUGGGAGAGGUAAGCGGAAUUCCUGGUGUAGCGGUGAAAUGCGUAGAUAUCAGGAGGAACACCGGUGGUGUAGACGGCUUACUGGACCACGACUGACACUGAGGCACGAAAGCGUGGGUAGCAAACAGG
Molecule: ribosomal RNA, 253 nt
Filed under: uncultured bacterium
Lineage: Bacteria
Description: partial 16S ribosomal RNA
Rfam family: Bacterial small subunit ribosomal RNA
Source: RNAcentral